GAUGAACGCUAGCGGCAGGCUUAAACACAUGCAAGUCGAGGGGCAGCGCGGGGUAGCAAUACUCUGGCGGCGACCGGCGGAAAGGGUGCGUAAACGCGUGAGCAAACUUGCCCGUCACAGGGGGAUAAACCGGUGGAAAACGCCGACUAACACCCCGUAACACAUCGCGCUGCAUGGCGGGAUGUUGAAAAACUCUGGUGGUGACGGAUAGGCUCGCGUGCCAUUAGCUAGUCGGCGGGGCAAACGGCCCACCGAGGCGACGAUGGCUAGGGGUUCUGAGAGGAAGGCCCCCCACACUGGGACUGAGACACGGCCCAGACUCCUACGGGAGGCAGCAGUGAGGAAUAUUGGACAAUGGAGGCAACUCUGAUCCAGCCAAUGCCGCGUGAAAGGACUAAAGGCCCUAAUGGGCUGUAAAACUUCUUUAGACGCAGAGCAAAUAAGGGCCACGCGUGGUCCGAUGAGAGUAUGCGUAGAAAUAAAGCAUCGG
This 490-nucleotide ribosomal RNA is filed under the name uncultured bacterium. RNAcentral's name for it is "bacterial SSU rRNA". It matches the Rfam family "Bacterial small subunit ribosomal RNA", at positions 28 to 496 of the family's 1533-position model. The record is from RNAcentral.